GUAAACGCUGGCGGCGUGCUUAACACAUGCAAGUCGAGCGAGAAAGUUCCUUCGGGAAUGAGUACAGCGGCAGACGGGUGAGUAACGCGUGAGAAUCUGCCCUUUAGUGAGGAAUACCUCCGAGAAAUCGGAGUUAAUACUGCAUACGUCCCUUCGGGGAGAAAGCUGGCCUCUUUGCUGGCGCUAAAGGAUGAGCUUACGUACUAUUAGCUAGUUGGUGGGGUAAAGGCCUACCAAGGCGAUGAUGGUUAGCCGGCCUGAGAGGGUGUACGGCCACACUGGAACUUAGACACGGUCCAGACUCCUACGGGAGGCAGCAGUGGGGAAUAUUGCGCAAUGGGCGAAAGCCUGACGCAGCGACGCCGCGUGAAGGAUGAAGGUCUUCGGAUUGUAAACUUCUGUUAAGUGGGAAGAAAUGUUCGUCUCUAAUACAGACGGAAGAUGACGGUACCAUUAGAGAAAGCACCGGCUAAACUCGU
This 479-nucleotide ribosomal RNA is filed under the name uncultured bacterium. RNAcentral describes it as "bacterial SSU rRNA". It matches the Rfam family "Bacterial small subunit ribosomal RNA", at positions 29 to 506 of the family's 1533-position model. The record is from RNAcentral.